Molecule: small nuclear RNA, 190 nt
Filed under: Peromyscus maniculatus bairdii (prairie deer mouse)
Lineage: Eukaryota; Metazoa; Chordata; Mammalia; Rodentia; Cricetidae
Description: U2 spliceosomal RNA (ENSPEMG00000001720.2)
Rfam family: U2 spliceosomal RNA
About the family: U2 is a small nuclear RNA (snRNA) component of the spliceosome (involved in pre-mRNA splicing).
Source: RNAcentral
AUUCUUUAUCAGCCUUUCUAAGAUCAAGUGUAGUAUCUGUUUAUAUUGGUUUGAUAUCUCAAAUUCCUCUAUCUGAGAACAGUGUAUUUAUUUGGUGGGUUUUUCCAGCUGGGAGAUAGAAUAAGAGCUUGAUCCACUCACUGCAUUCAUUGUUCUGAUAUUUCAGUUCUUCCAGAAGUGUGUACCCCUC